Molecule: long non-coding RNA, 1879 nt
Organism: Triticum aestivum (bread wheat)
Lineage: Eukaryota; Viridiplantae; Streptophyta; Magnoliopsida; Poales; Poaceae
Exons: 4
Source: RefSeq, a predicted model, not a curated record
UACAUGGGGUUAGCCAUUCUAUGGCCCAACAAGCCAUCCAACCUUCUCCAUCUCCGCCUCCUCCCCGAAGCGCAGCCACGCCCUCGCUCCUCCUCCAUCUCCGCCUCCUCCCUGAAGCACAACCACGCCCUCGCUCCUCCUGAAGCGCCACCAGCCUACCUCGAUCUCCGCCGCCACCUCCCACCCCUACCUCCGCGGUGGUCCUGCGCCCCCUCUACCCCGACCUCCAGCGACAGUCCUCCCAUCCCGAUCUCCACCAAUGGUCCUGCGUCCUCACCACCCGACCUCUGGAGAAGCUCUGAUGACCCACCUCCCUCCCCGACCUCCACUGCGCUCCCGCGCUCUUCACCGUGGUCACGCCCCCAUCCAUGCCGGUAGUUCAUGCUGGAUUAGGAGGUUGUACACGUACGUCUAUAUUUAUGUUCAAGUCGAGCUUCGUGGAUCUGAAGGCAUAUACUUGGAGUAUAUAUCUAGCAUAUCAAGCUACCGGAGACAACCAGUACUUCAUUGAAAUAAUAACAACAAUAUCAUCGUUUUGUCCAAAUGACAUCGUCCAUGUAUACUGAUGUGGUUGGCACUCACCACAGGUAGUCGCUCCCCCCAUAGAUGAACUGUUUUAUCUCUGUAGCUAUUUUUGAAUAAAACUGGUCAUGUAUAGCAUGCAUACCUUCUGGCUAUAUAGAAGUCGAGGUGCCUAUGUGGGCUGCAAAAACAGAGGGCGUCCCCGACUUGGAUUUUGUGUCCUGGUCGAGCACGUCAUUAAUUAAUGGGCGUUGGACAUGGACUCCACAUGGAACGCUCUCUUUGACACAUAAACGAUGGCCUCAAGCCCCUAUGUGGAAGUAUUCAGCUUUGCCGUUCUACCAUUUUCUCUAUAAGAACGAUGUACAAUUUUGAUGGAACACUAACCGCCAGUGCUACACCCGAGGUACACCAUUGUAUAAUCCACAUGCCAAACCAUGAGUAAAGUAGCAAGCUAUUAUGUUUCAAAAUUUAUUUGGAAGAGCAUGUGUUUUGGGUUUUAUACUUCACCAUGAUCUUUUACUGUGUGCCUGCAACCAUAGCUUCUAUCGUCAUUAACUUGCCAUAUACGGAUAGUCUGCAGAGUUUACAAACAAGAGUGAAACCAAUAAUGAUGGUUGAUGAUUAUGGUAUGAUUGCCGGAUUAAUAAUUCAGAACAAGAAAGCUAUUUUACUAGAAAAGCUGCUCCCGCGCUCUUCACCGUGGUCACACCCCCAUCCAUGCCGCUCUACUCCCUGAACACCCAUGAGAGCUCCGCCAUCCUGUGAGGGGAGCAAGUCGAGGUGCCUAUGCGGGCUGCAAAAAUGGAGGGCGUCGCCAACUCUGAUGUUUUGUCCUGCUCAAGCACGUCAUUAAUGUGUGUUGGAGAUGGACUCGACAUGGAACACUCUCUUUGCCACAUCAAAGAUGGCCUCAAGCCCCUAUACAGAAGUAUCCAAUCUUGCUGUUCUACAAUUUUCUCUGGAACAACGAUGUACAACUUCGACGGAACAGGACCGCCAGUGCUCCACCUGAGAAUAAACUUCUCACGAGUGAAAUUACUUCUGGCGUUGCAAUGUAGCUAGAUUGGAGAGAAACAUGAUAGCAUCUUAAUAAUCCAGUAAGAUUGUAAACCAGUUUUUUAAUGGGGGCAGUUUUUCGGUUGGACGGAAGUAACUCCACUCGCUAGGAGGGCUUGGUGGUAAUAUACAAGGCCGUGAAGCAUUUUUCAUGUAACUGGUAGUGAUCUAAGUCACAUGUUAUUACAAUGGAUGCUACUACAACAUUUCCGUAUAAAUGUAUGCCACUGAUCUUUGCAUAUAUAUUACACUCCAUUUGUAAAUAAAUAUAAGAUGUUUUAAUAUGUUUCUACUACUA